GCAGUAUUCCCUCCGUCCCAAAAUUCUUGUCUUACAUUUGUUUAGAUACGGAUGUAUCUAACACUAAAAUGUAACUAGAUACAUCUAUAUUAAGACAAAUUUAAGACAAGAAUUUUGGGAUGGAGGGAGUACAAA
Non-coding RNA from Triticum aestivum (bread wheat), 135 nucleotides. Lineage: Eukaryota; Viridiplantae; Streptophyta; Magnoliopsida; Poales; Poaceae. The record is from Rfam.